GAGCACAUACAGAAAAGGUCUGCAUGGCUGUUUUUGAAGAGGAAAGAGAGAAGAACUUGUUGAUAACACAAGGACAAAGGCGCAAACACACUAGAAAGGGUACAUAAGAAGAAUUUAAGAUGGGCUCUACCACAGAUAUUCAGAUGUGAAGAAGAAAUUCUGCAGUAAGCACAGAAUAACUGGUGGUUUCUUUGCUCUGGGAAAACAGAAAGAGAGAAGAUGCAGCAUCAUGUCCCAGGCAGCCAGAGCCAGAAACAGCGAUCUAGAAAGAGCUGCCCAAAAGCACUGAGACUGGACCCCAAAGAAGACUAAACCUGAGACAGUGGGAAAGGUCUC
Molecule: long non-coding RNA, 336 nt
Filed under: Bubo bubo (Eurasian eagle-owl)
Lineage: Eukaryota; Metazoa; Chordata; Aves; Strigiformes; Strigidae
Description: lncRNA (ENSBOBG00000004436.1)
Source: RNAcentral